GACGAACGCUGGCGGCGUGCCUAAUACAUGCAAGUAGAACGCUGAAGAGAGGAGCUUGCUCUUCUUGGAUGAGUUGCGAACGGGUGAGUAACGCGUAGGUAACCUGCCUUGUAGCGGGGGAUAACUAUUGGAAACGAUAGCUAAUACCGCAUAACAAUGGAUGACCCAUGUCAUUUAUUUGAAAGGGGCAAAUGCUCCACUACAAGAUGGACCUGCGUUGUAUUAGCUAGUAGGUGAGGUAACGGCUCACCUAGGGGACGAUACAUAGCCGACCUGAGAGGGGGGACGGCCACCAUGGGACUGAGACACGGGCCAGACUCCUACGGGAGGCAGCAGUAGGGGAUCCUCGGCAAUUGGGGCAACCCUGACCGAGCAACGCCGCGGGAGUGAAGAAGGUUUUCGGAUCGUAAAGCUCUGUUGGAAGUCAAGAACGAGUGUGAGAGUGGAAAGUUCACACUGUGACGGUAGCUUACCAGAAAGGGACGGCUAACUACGUG
This 497-nucleotide ribosomal RNA is filed under the name uncultured bacterium. RNAcentral's name for it is "partial 16S ribosomal RNA". It matches the Rfam family "Bacterial small subunit ribosomal RNA", at positions 28 to 507 of the family's 1533-position model. The record is from RNAcentral.